UUAAGCGACUAAGCGUACACGGUGGAUGCCCUGGCAGUCAGAGGCGAUGAAGGACGUGCUAAUCUGCGAUAAGCGUCGGUAAGGUGAUAUGAACCGUUAUAACCGGCGAUUUCCGAAUGGGGAAACCCAGUGUGAUUCGUCACACUAUCAUUAACUGAAUCCAUAGGUUAAUGAGGCGAACCGGGGGAACUGAAACAUCUAAGUACCCCGAGGAAAAGAAAUCAACCGAGAUUCCCCCAGUAGCGGCGAGCGAACGGGGAGGAGCCCAGAGCCUGAAUCAGUGUGUGUGUUAGUGGAAGCGUCUGGAAAGGCGCGCGAUACAGGGUGACAGCCCCGUACACAAAAAUGCACAUGCUGUGAGCUCGAUGAGUAGGGCGGGACACGUGGUAUCCUGUCUGAAUAUGGGGGGACCAUCCUCCAAGGCUAAAUACUCCUGACUGACCGAUAGUGAACCAGUACCGUGAGGGAAAGGCGAAAAGAACCCCGGCGAGGGGAGUGAAAAAGAACCUGAAACCGUGUACGUACAAGCAGUGGGAGCACAGAGCAAUCUGUGUGACUGCGUACCUUUUGUAUAAUGGGUCAGCGACUUAUAUUCUGUAGCAAGGUUAACCGAAUAGGGGAGCCGAAGGGAAACCGAGUCUUAACUGGGCGUUAAGUUGCAGGGUAUAGACCCGAAACCCGGUGAUCUAGCCAUGGGCAGGUUGAAGGUUGGGUAACACUAACUGGAGGACCGAACCGACUAAUGUUGAAAAAUUAGCGGAUGACUUGUGGCUGGGGGUGAAAGGCCAAUCAAACCGGGAGAUAGCUGGUUCUCCCCGAAAGCUAUUUAGGUAGCGCCUCGUGAAUUCAUCUCCGGGGGUAGAGCACUGUUUCGGCAAGGGGGUCAUCCCGACUUACCAACCCGAUGCAAACUGCGAAUACCGGAGAAUGUUAUCACGGGAGACACACGGCGGGUGCUAACGUCCGUCGUGAAGAGGGAAACAACCCAGACCGCCAGCUAAGGUCCCAAAGUCAUGGUUAAGUGGGAAACGAUGUGGGAAGGCCCAGACAGCCAGGAUGUUGGCUUAGAAGCAGCCAUCAUUUAAAGAAAGCGUAAUAGCUCACUGGUCGAGUCGGCCUGCGCGGAAGAUGUAACGGGGCUAAACCAUGCACCGAAGCUGCGGCAGCGACGCUUAUGCGUUGUUGGGUAGGGGAGCGUUCUGUAAGCCUGUGAAGGUGUGCUGUGAGGCAUGCUGGAGGUAUCAGAAGUGCGAAUGCUGACAUAAGUAACGAUAAAGCGGGUGAAAAGCCCGCUCGCCGGAAGACCAAGGGUUCCUGUCCAACGUUAAUCGGGGCAGGGUGAGUCGACCCCUAAGGCGAGGCCGAAAGGCGUAGUCGAUGGGAAACAGGUUAAUAUUCCUGUACUUGGUGUUACUGCGAAGGGGGGACGGAGAAGGCUAUGUUGGCCGGGCGACGGUUGUCCCGGUUUAAGCGUGUAGGCUGGUUUUCCAGGCAAAUCCGGAAAAUCAAGGCUGAGGCGUGAUGACGAGGCACUACGGUGCUGAAGCAACAAAUGCCCUGCUUCCAGGAAAAGCCUCUAAGCAUCAGGUAACAUCAAAUCGUACCCCAAACCGACACAGGUGGUCAGGUAGAGAAUACCAAGGCGCUUGAGAGAACUCGGGUGAAGGAACUAGGCAAAAUGGUGCCGUAACUUCGGGAGAAGGCACGCUGAUAUGUAGGUGAAGUCCCUCGCGGAUGGAGCUGAAAUCAGUCGAAGAUACCAGCUGGCUGCAACUGUUUAUUAAAAACACAGCACUGUGCAAACACGAAAGUGGACGUAUACGGUGUGACGCCUGCCCGGUGCCGGAAGGUUAAUUGAUGGGGUUAGCGCAAGCGAAGCUCUUGAUCGAAGCCCCGGUAAACGGCGGCCGUAACUAUAACGGUCCUAAGGUAGCGAAAUUCCUUGUCGGGUAAGUUCCGACCUGCACGAAUGGCGUAAUGAUGGCCAGGCUGUCUCCACCCGAGACUCAGUGAAAUUGAACUCGCUGUGAAGAUGCAGUGUACCCGCGGCAAGACGGAAAGACCCCGUGAACCUUUACUAUAGCUUGACACUGAACAUUGAGCCUUGAUGUGUAGGAUAGGUGGGAGGCUUUGAAGUGUGGACGCCAGUCUGCAUGGAGCCGACCUUGAAAUACCACCCUUUAAUGUUUGAUGUUCUAACGUUGACCCGUAAUCCGGGUUGCGGACAGUGUCUGGUGGGUAGUUUGACUGGGGCGGUCUCCUCCUAAAGAGUAACGGAGGAGCACGAAGGUUGGCUAAUCCUGGUCGGACAUCAGGAGGUUAGUGCAAUGGCAUAAGCCAGCUUGACUGCGAGCGUGACGGCGCGAGCAGGUGCGAAAGCAGGUCAUAGUGAUCCGGUGGUUCUGAAUGGAAGGGCCAUCGCUCAACGGAUAAAAGGUACUCCGGGGAUAACAGGCUGAUACCGCCCAAGAGUUCAUAUCGACGGCGGUGUUUGGCACCUCGAUGUCGGCUCAUCACAUCCUGGGGCUGAAGUAGGUCCCAAGGGUAUGGCUGUUCGCCAUUUAAAGUGGUACGCGAGCUGGGUUUAGAACGUCGUGAGACAGUUCGGUCCCUAUCUGCCGUGGGCGCUGGAGAAUUGAGGGGGGCUGCUCCUAGUACGAGAGGACCGGAGUGGACGCAUCACUGGUGUUCGGGUUGUCAUGCCAAUGGCACUGCCCGGUAGCUAAAUGCGGAAGAGAUAAGUGCUGAAAGCAUCUAAGCACGAAACUUGCCCCGAGAUGAGUUCUCCCUGACUCCUUGAGAGUCCUGAAGGAACGUUGAAGACGACGACGUUGAUAGGCCGGGUGUGUAAGCGCAGCGAUGCGUUGAGCUAACCGGUACUAAUGAACCGUGAGGCUUAACCUU
RNAcentral lists this ribosomal RNA (2904 nucleotides) under Escherichia coli. RNAcentral's name for it is "bacterial LSU rRNA". It matches the Rfam family "Bacterial large subunit ribosomal RNA". The record is from RNAcentral. Lineage: Bacteria; Pseudomonadati; Pseudomonadota; Gammaproteobacteria; Enterobacterales; Enterobacteriaceae.